AGAUGCCCAGCCUCCGCUCCCCUGCCUCCUGCCACCUCUCCUUGGCCCCGGAGCCAGCGCUUCGCCCCCUGACACUCACACACCCCGCUUUUUAAACAGAAGUCCUCUUUGUCCGCAGUGGGCAUUAGGCUGGGGUGCGCGCCCCUCCCCCGCACCUCCCUCUGAGCGCAUUUGGAUGCCGCUAGAACUGGGCUAGAAGAGAGGUUAAGGGCGAGCUGGAAGCAAAAAAUGAAGUGGAGGGACAGCUGCAACUUGAGGCGCUGUUUGACAGGGGCAGGUUCCCAUAGCGGGAUUCUGGGUUGACUGUGUGUGGAACCCUCAAAUCUUUUUUUUUAGUUCAGGUUGCUCCAACCACUUCCUCCUUUCCCCAAAGCUACUCCUCCUGCAGUGGCCUGGGAAAAAGAGAGGGUUAUGCAAAAAGAGUUUGGUCUUGAUUUUUCAACCCCCGGCUAUAUCACCAGGGUAAGUUUGAUUUGUUGGGUUUUUUCCAAAAAAGUCUAGCUAGAGAGGUCUGGCAACUCAUGGAGCAAUUGAGGUGUUUCACAGGCAUGAGACCUGGAAGCCCAGGCGUUGGGCUGGGAGAAAGAGUGGCUUACAGAAUUUGCCAUCUGCCUGCUCUGGGACUUGUGAGAAGGGCUCGGAAUUCUUAUUUUAUCUAGUCAAAAGCAGGCGUGGAGAGGGAGGUGAUAGACCACCAGCUAUUGAUGCCAGGCUUCCACCUCCUGGUCCCGGCUCCUUGCACAACAGCCUGUGGCCUGGGGACAGUUACGUGCAUUCCAUAUGCAUCCAGCACAAGCAGACAAUGCUCACUUUCACCUGCUGGCCCAUCAGGAGACAGGGAAGGUGACAUGUGAAGCAAACAGUCUUCAUGGUCAGGUGGAGCCUCUGCCUGGCUAAGAAAUCCCUAGGGGCAGCUUCCCUGCUGUACUCCAGACAACCAGGGAGUCCUGGCAGACUGGGAUGCUUUGGGAGCCGGAGCGUGUUGAGUCAGGCGCUGGCCAUCAGGAAACAUCAGGACACCUCUGACAGGGAGUAUCCCACAGGAAUGUUGCAAAUCAAGGCAAAGGAGAGAGGCAAAAAUACACGACAGGGUCAUUUCCCACCUUUCCCAUGGAAUUUUUUUUUUUUUUUUUUAAAUAAGAGCACUUGUCGAAGGAACACCCAAUAUGCAUUCACGCACAAACAUACCGGAGAGGAAGUCCAGGAAGGAUGUAGAAAAUAAUUAUGGAAUGUUGCCUCCAGCAGGAAUAAGACAGGAUAUGGCAAAUCCAUUAGACCUUGCUAGAUUUGAAAAAGCUAGACUGCUUUGGCAAAGAGGUGCUAUCCUAGCAUCAAUUAGUAUUGCAUAAUAAUCCAGUAAAUCUUUUCUCAAUGUGCCUCUCCCUCCAGCAGGCUCCCCAGACACUGCUGCCCACGGUGUCAUACCUUGGUUUUCUGUCAAGUUCCAAGGACCACGAUGAAAGCAGGCAGGGGAAAAUAUGCUUUUUACUUAACUCUGGAAAGAGGUAGAGGAUGAUCAUGAACCCCUGGCAAGGGUUAAACAAAAAUUGAACCAAUAUUUACCUGCCAGGUUGACUAAGCUUAUUCUGAUUGAAUACAAAGCACAUGAAAAGCUGAAUGAAAUUACACUGAGAUUAACUGGUUUGCUUCAGCCAAGAAAGAAGGACAUGGGAGUCAGCCAUAUCACACCAAGUGAGCUAUUUUAAAAAACUCAGGAGACCAUCUUUCUCUUCCACAGGAAAAGAAUUAUUUUAUUAAGUAUUUUAAAACAACUACUUAACAUUUACUCAUAGAUAAAAAUAUUUACAAUUUUACACCUUCAGGAAGGCUCCAAAAUAUAAACACUGUACCUCUCCCUAGAGAAAAAAAAAAUUAUUCUUCUCUUCAAAAACAGGAAUACAUUCAUUUUUUCUCACUGUGUGAAUCAAGUAAUUAUACAAAUAAACAUCUGAAACAUUUUCCUUUUUAAUAUAUUUAUAUAAUAUAUAUUUAUAACAGCUUUACAAAUAAAGGCAACGACUUAAUACCAAAAUAAAAACAGGAAAAGAAAAAGUUAAAACACGAUCAGCAAUCAGGCAUAGUGCAUUUUGAAAAGCUGCUGCGGAGCUGGCUGGACACAUCGGGAAAACAAGUACUCUGGACCAAAAAUAAAACUUCUUUGAAGGAGACGGAAUCCUUUUUAGCAAUAAGGACACUCCAUAUGCCGUUGGGCAAGAGGAAUUAGCCUACAGAAAGGAUCUGGCGGUGCCAAGGCUUGGUUAGGCCUUUGAGAAGCUAAGCUUGGUUAAAA
RNAcentral lists this long non-coding RNA (2290 nucleotides) under Homo sapiens (human). Its description in RNAcentral is "non-protein coding lnc-SUMF1-19:1". The record is from RNAcentral. Lineage: Eukaryota; Metazoa; Chordata; Mammalia; Primates; Hominidae.